CAAGUGAAGAGUUUGAUCCUGGCUCAGAUUGAACGCUGGCGGCGUGCCUAACACAUGCAAGUCGAGCGGUAACAGGCGUAGCAAUACGUGCUGACGAGCGGCGAACGGGUGAGUAAUGCUUCGGAAUCUACCCAGUAGUGGGGAAUAACCAUCCGAAAGGAUGGCUAAUACCGCAUACGUCCUACGGGAGAAAGCGGGGGAUCGUAAGACCUCGCGCUAUUGGAUGAGCCGAAGCCGGAUUAGCUAGUUGGUAGGGUAACGGCCUACCAAGGCGACGAUCCGUAGCUGGUCUGAGAGGACGACCAGCCACACUGGGACUGAGACACGGCCCAGACUCCUACGGGAGGCAGCAGUGGGGAAUAUUGGACA
This 369-nucleotide ribosomal RNA is filed under the name Gammaproteobacteria bacterium. Its description in RNAcentral is "bacterial SSU rRNA". It matches the Rfam family "Bacterial small subunit ribosomal RNA", at positions 1 to 370 of the family's 1533-position model. Lineage: Bacteria; Pseudomonadati; Pseudomonadota; Gammaproteobacteria. The record is from RNAcentral.